Molecule: ribosomal RNA, 253 nt
Filed under: uncultured bacterium
Lineage: Bacteria
Description: partial 16S ribosomal RNA
Rfam family: Bacterial small subunit ribosomal RNA
Source: RNAcentral
UACGAAGGGGGCUAGCGUUGUUCGGAAUUACUGGGCGUAAAGCGCGCGCAGGCGGCCUUUCAAGUCAGGGGUGAAAGCCCGGAGCUCAACUCCGGAAUUGCCUUUGAAACUGUCAGGCUCGAGUACGGGAGAGGGAAGUGGAAUUCCCGGUGUAGUGGUGAAAUGCGUAGAUAUCGGGAGGAACACCAGUGGCGAAGGCGACUUCCUGGCCUGUUCUUGACGCUGAGGCGCGAAAGCUAGGGUAGCAAACGGG